CCUGAGUGGUGAAGUUCUCCCAUAAUUAUCUUUGCCUAGGGACUUAGAUUAGAGUUAAAAUACAGAAUGUGAGCUAGGAGUGAGGAUAGGCUAUGGUUUGAUGAAAAACACAAAACUACAAGGACUAAAAUUGGAAUUUAUCUCAAAAAUAGUUGAAGGGCUAAUGUAAUAAUUCCAUUUCUUUUUUUUUCCUUUCCCCCGCAUGAUCUUUGUGGCCCCACCAAUUUAAUAUACUUUUAUAUUUUUCUUUCCCAUUUUUCCACGCCUUUGUCUUUUAACUUUUUCCCUUAUUUCUUCCUCUUCCGCGCCAUUACUUUUAUUUUUUUUUCUAUUCUCUUUUCCUCUUUUCUUCCUCUCCUCUCUUUCUCAACCCUAGCCGCCGUACUCCUGCGCCGCCACCAAUCGGAAAAGCCUUUCCUCUUUCUUUUAAUCCACCGCGUCAUAUCUUUUCAGAACCCACUUGAAAGCCAUUAAAACACCGAAUCGACUUCGACUUUCUCUUGCCCCGAUCUACUGCCUCCGCCGUCAGAUCGACACGGGAUAUCAGGGGAAGCUUCCCUUCCCCGAGAUAUAACCUCUCAAAUAUGUUCUCUCUUCCUCCUUUUUUUUGCUGAUUUUUUCUGCUGUAAUGGUUGUGAAAUGAUGAUUGAGCAGUGUUGGUGAAGGUGGUGGCUAUGGUUUAGAGAGGGGCGGAGAGUGAUCUUGAUGGUGGGCGGUUGGGGGCCUCCGUAGUUAUGAGAUGGUGGAGGUUCUGGGUAGUGAAAUUGCGGUGGAUAUGGGGAAGAUGAUGGGUAUGGUGGGGGAUUGGGCGGCUUUGACUUUGACUCAGUGAGGAUAAGUGAUGGCAAAAAUGUUGAGGUUUAUGGUUAGUUAAUUUAUCGAUGUGUAUGUAGGAUAAUUUGACGUAGGCUUGCAGCUGGCCGAGCUGGCUGGCUCUAGUAUAGCCAGGCAGUAAGUUAUCACAGCUGCAUAAAUCAAACUGGGGCGCCUAACCAGCUCUUGACUGUGAUAGUUUAACCAGUCCAAGAUAGUUUGUCCCCAGACAUACCCUAUACAUGUCAUUGUUUAAUUAUGCUUCUCUUAGGGCAAACGGUUAAUUUCAAUAAUCAUAACCCCGGUCUUUGUUGGAGUUAAUGAAAGAGGUUGACGUCUGCGUCGAUCUAUUUUUUAAUCAAUAUGUUUUCUUGUUUAAAAUCUUAGUUAUUGCAAUUUUUUUGUCCAUGAAGCAUUGCUGGCAGGAAAUAGCGCAACUUCAUCGAAACCAAUCGACAGCUUGUUGAAGAGCAGGAGAACAAGGACACCACUGUUCAAUCUAUUAAAACGAGCAACCGGAUAACACGUUAAUAGCAUCGAUGUCUAUUAACAAAACUGAACUUAAGAUUCAUAAAUAUGGUAAAGACGUGAAGUACAAGACUUAAGUACCAAUAAAUACGACAUAAGGAUACAAAACAUCCUAAGCUCACUUGAAGGAUGUCUUCGGCGUCUAAACACCCGCGGUCGCCUUCACAGUUCUUUAAUCCUGCAACUACAUUGUGAACAUGCUAUGUAAGUAGCCAUCAUUUUGGCAAUUCAAUGUUGAGACAAAACAAUAAUUGAAUAGUCUUUCCAUUUCCGGGAACGCAUUGGGGCGGUAAUCUCGAACCGCCCAAGCCAGCAAAUUGUAAGCUAAGAAGAUCAAGCCCGUAUCUAGCCAUCCAAGAAGUGGGGCCAUUUUUGAACUGACCAAACCAGGAACCAUCCUCGAAAACUACAUGCCUUUCAUUAUUGUUGCUUGUUGAACCACUUUCCAUUUCACUUUUGGACCCUCCAACAGUACCUUCCAUUCUCCAUCACAUCACAGGUUUUGAUAUGUUCCAAGUAAGUAGAAAAAGAAAGAAAAAGAAAGUAG
RNAcentral lists this long non-coding RNA (1888 nucleotides) under Gossypium raimondii (Peruvian cotton). RNAcentral's name for it is "long non-coding RNA (GRAI_LNC007785)". Lineage: Eukaryota; Viridiplantae; Streptophyta; Magnoliopsida; Malvales; Malvaceae. The record is from RNAcentral.